Molecule: ribosomal RNA, 460 nt
Filed under: uncultured bacterium
Lineage: Bacteria
Description: partial 16S ribosomal RNA
Rfam family: Bacterial small subunit ribosomal RNA
Source: RNAcentral
CCUACGGGUGGCAGCAGUGAGGAAUAUUGGUCAAUGGACGAGAGUCUGAACCAGCCAAGUAGCGUGAAGGAUGACUGCCCUAUGGGUUGUAAACUUCUUUUAUAUGGGAAUAAAAUGUUCCACGUGUGGGAUUUUGUAUGUACCUUAUGAAUAAGGAUCGGCUAACUCCGUGCCAGCAGCCGCGGUAAUACGGAGGAUCCGAGCGUUAUCCGGAUUUAUUGGGUUUAAAGGGUGCGUAGGUGGAUUGUUAAGUCAGUUGUGAAAGUUUGCGGCUCAACCGUCAAAUUGCAGUUGACACUGGCAGUCUUGAGUACAGUAGAGGUGGGCGGAAUGCGUGGGGUAGCGGUGAAAUGUUUAGAUAUCACGAAGAACUCCGAUUGCGAAGGCAGUUCACUGGACUGCAACUGACACUGAGGCUCGAAAGUGUGGGUAUCAAACAGGAUUAGAUACCCCUGUAGUC